Molecule: long non-coding RNA, 789 nt
Organism: Drosophila biarmipes
Lineage: Eukaryota; Metazoa; Arthropoda; Insecta; Diptera; Drosophilidae
Exons: 3
Source: RefSeq, a predicted model, not a curated record
ACUCAGGUUGAGGGAGAAAAAUAAAAAUGGAGAUAUCAUAAAGCAGCAAAAAAAUAUUCUAAAGCGUAACCUACCGCCUAUUUUGGUAUAUGUUAUGUGGGCGGCAAACAGUUUUAAGCGUUUUAUCCGUUUGGGGGCGUUACAGUAGGCGUGGAAAAUAUUUUUUAAGUCAGAAUAAUAAAACAAAUACAUUUCUCAUAGAAUCAUGUGAGACGUUUUCAGCCAAUGAUUCCUCACUCAUCAUGUGGUCGAGGGUGCACAAAUGUGACUUUGUUAGUUCAGUGCCGCUAGCUCAGUCUGCCUCAGGGCAGAGUUCCCCUAAUGCCACAGCUUGCAACAUAAAAAAAAUGGACAACUCCGCUGUCUCGCAUAACUGAAACUAUCGGAAAUCACUAAGAACAAAACGUAAACAAAGGUGAAUAUUUAAAAACAUCGACGAUAUUCGGGCCAAGCGCUUCCUCCCUACCAUGGGUACCCUCUAUAUGCUGCUGGGCACCACCCAAACUCUGCCGGACGGCGCCCCUCCUCGCGACUACGGCGGUUCCAUCUUCCCCACUGGGACAUUUACUCACACAUGGUAGAUUUUACAAACAUUUCAUGAAUAUGACCAAGACUUGGCCACCGUCUUCAGGACUUAAUCGAAGUAUUUAGUCGAACUCCCAAGUAAAUCUGCAAAGUAUGUAGUCAAACUCCCAAGUAAAUCUGCCGGGGCCCUUUGUGUCGGGACCCUUGUUGCCCUAUAAAUGCUUAAUAAUAAAUACCGAACUCUAUUUUAACUAACAAACUACA